GAUGAACGCUGGCGGCGUGCUUAACACAUGCAAGUCGAGCGAGAAACUACAUGCAGACACUUCGGUAGAAGCGAGUAGCGGAAAGCGGCGGACGGGUGAGUAACGCGUAGGCAACCUGCCCUUCACAGAGGUAUAGCCUCGGGAAACCGGGAUUAAAACCACAUAAAAUCAUAGGUUCGCAUGAACCAAAGGUCAAAGAUUUAUCGGUGAAGGAUGGGCCUGCGUCUGAUUAGCUGGUUGGUAGGGUAAAAGCCUACCAAGGCGACGAUCAGUAGCCGACCUGAGAGGGUGAUCGGCCACAUUGGAACUGAGACACGGUCCAAACUCCUACGGGAGGCAGCAGUGGGGGAUAUUGCACAAUGGGGGAAACCCUGAUGCAGCAACGCCGCGUGAGGUAUGAAGGCCUUUGGGUUGUAAGCCUCUGUCCUAGGGGAAGAAAAAAAUGACGUACCCGAGGAGGAGCCC
RNAcentral lists this ribosomal RNA (465 nucleotides) under [Eubacterium] saphenum. RNAcentral's name for it is "bacterial SSU rRNA". It matches the Rfam family "Bacterial small subunit ribosomal RNA", at positions 28 to 492 of the family's 1533-position model. The record is from RNAcentral. Lineage: Bacteria; Bacillati; Bacillota; Clostridia; Peptostreptococcales; Anaerovoracaceae.